ACUUGCAGAGCUAUAUAUAAGAGUUUGUGUAUAUAAGAGUGGUAUGUACAGUAUUGCUCCACGUCCCUUGUGGGUGACACUUGUACCAUGUCCAUUCACACUUUCAUCUUACUGAGGCAAGUGAUCAGUGCUAAUUAUGAGUGACCGCAGAGCCAAGUCUUCUUUCUGGGUCUUGCCACUGUGAUGAUUUAAUAAUUUAACCCACCAUGAUUUAAUAUCUGAUUUUUUCUGUAUAUCUACAUCUCUGCUUGGGAUAUGCUUGGGAUAUCCUUGGGAUAUGAAAGUCCUACACUUUAAAAGCCCUUAAAGGACACAAUUGAAAAUUACAAACCAUGUCUCAGCACAGCCAGGACUGGGAAAGGAUGCCCACCCUGCCUCGUAUCUGCUGGAUUUUGGGUAGGAACUGCCUCUGCGUCCUCCAACAGCCCCAGCUAACCCAACUGUGACGUCUACACAGAAUAGAUCUGGGUCUACUCACAAAAUAACUAAAGAGAAAAAAGUGGAUUUCAGCAUUUCCAUUUAUCUGCCUGUACUGUGUUUCCUACCUGGCAAUGGUAAUCAGAGAAAAAGAAAGGCUUUUCUUGGCCAGAACAAAGGUACCCAUAGCCAAGUUUCCUGCCUUCAGCAGCUG
Molecule: long non-coding RNA, 631 nt
Filed under: Calidris pugnax (ruff)
Lineage: Eukaryota; Metazoa; Chordata; Aves; Charadriiformes; Scolopacidae
Description: lncRNA (ENSCPUG00000008821.1)
Source: RNAcentral